GGGACACGUGGUAUCCUGUCUGAAUAUGGGGGGACCAUCCUCCAAGGCUAAAUACUCCUGACUGACCGAUAGUGAACCAGUACCGUGAGGGAAAGGCGAAAAGAACCCCGGCGAGGGGAGUGAAAAAGAACCUGAAACCGUGUACGUACAAGCAGUGGGAGCCUCUUAAUGGGGUGACUGCGUACCUUUUGUAUAAUGGGUCAGCGACUUAUAUUCUGUAGCAAGGUUAACCGAAUAGGGGAGCCGAAGGGAAACCGAGUCUUAACUGGGCGCUAAGUUGCAGGGUAUAGACCCGAAACCCGGUGAUCUAGCCAUGGGCAGGUUGAAGGUUGGGUAACACUAACUGGAGGACCGAACCGACUAAUGUUGAAAAAUUAGCGGAUGACUUGUGGCUGGGGGUGAAAGGCCAAUCAAACCGGGAGAUAGCUGGUUCUCCCCGAAAGCUAUUUAGGUAGCGCCUCGUGAAUUCAUCUCCGGGGGUAGAGCACUGUUUCGGCAAGGGGGUCAUCCCGACUUACCAACCCGAUGCAAACUGCGAAUACCGGAGAAUGUUAUCACGGGAGACACACGGCGGGUGCUAACGUCCGUCGUGAAGAGGGAAACAACCCAGACCGCCAGCUAAGGUCCCAAAGUCAUGGUUAAGUGGGAAACGAUGUGGGAAGGCCCAGACAGCCAGGAUGUUGGCUUAGAAGCAGCCAUCAUUUAAAGAAAGCGUAAUAGCUCACUGGUCGAGUCGGCCUGCGCGGAAGAUGUAACGGGGCUAAACCAUGCACCGAAGCUGCGGCAGCGACACUAUGUGUUGUUGGGUAGGGGAGCGUUCUGUAAGCCUGUGAAGGUGGCCUGUGAGGGUUGCUGGAGGUAUCAGAAGUGCGAAUGCUGACAUAAGUAACGAUAAAGCGGGUGAAAAGCCCGCUCGCCGGAAGACCAAGGGUUCCUGUCCAACGUUAAUCGGGGCAGGGUGAGUCGACCCCUAAGGCGAGGCCGAAAGGCGUAGUCGAUGGGAAACAGGUUAAUAUUCCUGUACUUGGUGUUACUGCGAAGGGGGGACGGAGAAGGCUAUGUUGGCCGGGCGACGGUUGUCCCGGUUUAAGCGUGUAGGCUGGUUUUCCAGGCAAAUCCGGAAAACCAAGGCUGAGGCGUGAUGACGAGGCACUACGGUGCUGAAGCGACAAAUGCCCUGCUUCCAGGAAAAGCCUCUAAGCAUCAGGUAACAUCAAAUCGUACCCCAAACCGACACAGGUGGUCAGGUAGAGAAUACCAAGGCGCUUGAGAGAACUCGGGUGAAGGAACUAGGCAAAAUGGUGCCGUAACUUCGGGAGAAGGCACGCUGAUAUGUAGGUGAAGCGACUUGCUCGUGGAGCUGAAAUCAGUCGAAGAUACCAGCUGGCUGCAACUGUUUAUUAAAAACACAGCACUGUGCAAACACGAAAGUGGACGUAUACGGUGUGACGCCUGCCCGGUGCCGGAAGGUUAAUUGAUGGGGUUAGCGGCAACGCGAAGCUCUUGAUCGAAGCCCCGGUAAACGG
RNAcentral lists this ribosomal RNA (1526 nucleotides) under Escherichia coli. Its description in RNAcentral is "partial 23S ribosomal RNA". It matches the Rfam family "Bacterial large subunit ribosomal RNA", at positions 419 to 1930 of the family's 2925-position model. Lineage: Bacteria; Pseudomonadati; Pseudomonadota; Gammaproteobacteria; Enterobacterales; Enterobacteriaceae. The record is from RNAcentral.